AGCUGUCCUAAUUAGGGUGGGUAAUCGAAUACUGAAAAUUAUAGCCCUCUUAGAAUGAUCAUAUUAUUUAUCAUUUUUUUCAGUAUUCGAUUACCCACCCUAAUUAGAACAGCU
Molecule: microRNA precursor, 114 nt
Filed under: Pelobates cultripes (western spadefoot toad)
Lineage: Eukaryota; Metazoa; Chordata; Amphibia; Anura; Pelobatidae
Source: RNAcentral